RNAcentral lists this ribosomal RNA (492 nucleotides) under uncultured bacterium. Its description in RNAcentral is "partial 16S ribosomal RNA". It matches the Rfam family "Bacterial small subunit ribosomal RNA", at positions 30 to 507 of the family's 1533-position model. The record is from RNAcentral.
AUUGAACGCUGGCGGCAUGCUUUACACGUGCAAGUCGAACGGUAACAGGCCUUCGGGUGCUGACGAGUGGCGCACGGGUGAGUAAUGCAUCGGAACGUGCCCAGAGGUGGGGGAUAACGCAGCGAAAGCUGUGCUAAUACCGCAUGUGAUCUGAGGAUGAAAGCGGGGGACCAAGCAGCAAUGUUUGGCCUCGCGCCUCUGGAGCGGCCGAUGUCAGAUUAGGUAGUUGGUGGGGUAAAGGCCUACCAAGCCGACGAUCUGUAGCUGGUCUGAGAGGACGACCAGCCACACUGGGACUGAGACACGGCCCAGACUCCUACGGGAGGCAGCAGUGGGGAAUUUUGGACAAUGGGCGCAAGCCUGAUCCAGCAAUGCCGCGUGCGGGAAGAAGGCCUUCGGGUUGUAAACCGCUUUUGUACGGAACGAAAAGGCUCUGGCUAAUACCUGGGGCUGAUGACGGUACCGUAAGAAUAAGCACCGGCUAACUACGUG